This 210-nucleotide ribosomal RNA is filed under the name Alexandrium margalefii. RNAcentral's name for it is "partial Bacterial small subunit ribosomal RNA". It matches the Rfam family "Bacterial small subunit ribosomal RNA", at positions 1277 to 1488 of the family's 1533-position model. Lineage: Eukaryota; Dinophyceae; Gonyaulacales; Pyrocystaceae. The record is from RNAcentral.
UAAAGCUUGUCGUAGUCCGGAUCGGAGUCUGCAACUCGACUCCGUGAAGUCGGAAUCGCUAGUAAUCGCGAAUCAGAAUGUCGCGGUGAAUACGUUCCCGGGUCUUGUACACACCCCCUCACACCAUGGGAGUGGGUUCUACCAGAAGUGGCUAGUCUAGCCGCAAGGAGGACGGUCACCACGGUAGGAUUCAUGACUGGUGUGAAGUCG